CUAGAAUCUAUUGUGCUUUCAAUACUGUACAUGGGGAGAAGACACAUCCGGGGAACAGACAAUUUUGAUGGGAACAAACUAUAAACAAAAACAAUGAAUAAUGUUUACAACCCAAUGUGCUGCAGACCAGUCCAGCUGGUCUGGCCCUGUCCCUGACCAAGGCUCCUGAGGCUUUCACCUGGCUGUGACCGACUGAUGAUCCCUGACUCCACACAGACAUUUAUCACACACUUUUACAUUAUUAAGUUGUUUAUUUAAUUAGUUAUUUAUUUAUGUGGACUGUACACUGCAAUUCAGCUCUAAACUGCCAAUGUUGUACACCUUGACAAUAAACUAAAACAUUGUGAAUGGUAGAGUUAUGGUAUAGUACUUACCUGCUUUCGAAUCAUCAGACAUACCGUGGAUAAUUUAAUUUUACAAUACACUUUUGCAACCAUACCCAUAUGCCUAUUGCAUUGUUGGUGGAGUAGAGAGGUUAUUUCUUGGUGAUUUUUUAUUUCUAGAGCGGCUAUUUCUUUCUUGAUCAAGACCUUUGUUAAUCAAAUAGAUAACGUUGACGUACGACGCCUCCUGGCAACCAUGUUCAAAGACCACCGCAUUAAUUCUUCCGACAACAACAGCCGAGUUGCUACCCCAAAUUGCAUGAUAACAGUGCCUAAAUUGAUUCAUCUCCACGGUCAUUUUCUGUGGAUUAUUUCGCUGCUCUAACAAGGCAGUAAAGACAACGGGGAAAAUAUGUUUACAGAUUCCCCGCAAUCAUGAAACGCCAGUGAGAUAAGACUCAAGAACUGUCAGAAACGCGAAGAAACCUUUUUGCCCAUCAAGACCUGAACCCAGACAGCUGUCAGGGUCUGCUAAGAUCAUUUCAUCACUGGGAAAAUGUGGUCUUUGAUAAGCGUGAUGCAAUUCUACUGCACUUUACUCUACUGAAUCUGACAACAUAUCAAUAAAAACGAAGUUGUCUUGAAUGCAACCAUUUAAUUUGACAAAUGCUGGAUCCCUUCUACCCAUGACCAU
RNAcentral lists this long non-coding RNA (1017 nucleotides) under Salmo salar (Atlantic salmon). Its description in RNAcentral is "lncRNA (ENSSSAG00000099344.1)". The record is from RNAcentral. Lineage: Eukaryota; Metazoa; Chordata; Actinopteri; Salmoniformes; Salmonidae.